CCGCGGUAAAACCAGCACCUCAAGUGGUCAGGAGGAUUAUUGGGCCUAAAGCAUCCGUAGCCUGCUCUGUCAGUUUUCGGUUAAAUCCAUACGCUCAACGUAUGGGCUGCCGGAAAUACUGCAAAGCUAGGGAGUGGGAGAGGUAGACGGUACUCGGUAGGAAGGGGUAAAAUCCUUUGAUCUAUUGAUGACCACCUGUGGCGAAGGCGGUCUACCAGAACACGUCCGACGGUGAGGGAUGAAAGCUGGGGGAGCAAACCGGAUUAGAUACCCGGGUAGUCCCAGCUGUAAACUAUGCAAACUCAGUGAUGCAUUGGCUUGUGGCCAGUGCAGUGCCGCAGGGAAGCCGUUAAGUUUGCCGCCUGGGAAGUACGUACGCAAGUAUGAAACUUAAAGGAAUUGGCGGGGGAGCACCACAAGGGGUGAAGCCUGCGGUUCAAUUGGAGUCAACGCCG
This 455-nucleotide ribosomal RNA is filed under the name uncultured archaeon. Its description in RNAcentral is "bacterial SSU rRNA". It matches the Rfam family "Archaeal small subunit ribosomal RNA", at positions 465 to 920 of the family's 1478-position model. The record is from RNAcentral.